AGCUCCAAUAGCGUAUAUUAAAGUUGUUGCAGUUAAAAAGCUCGUAGUUGGAUUUCGGGACGGGCCAGUUGGUCCGCCGCAAGGUGUGUACUGACUGGUCUGUUCUUCUUCGCAAAGACUGCGUGUGCUCUUUAUUGAGUGUGCGUAGGAUUUACGACGUUUACUUUGAAAAAAUUAGAGUGUUCAAAGCAGGCUUAGGCCGUUGGAUACAUUAGCAUGGAAUAAUGAGACAGGGCCACCGCGGUCUAUUUUGUUGGUUUGCACGUUGUGGCAAUGAUUAACAGGAACGGUUGGGGGUAUUCGUAUUCAACUGUCAGAGGUGAAAUUCUUGGAUUUGUGGAAGACGAACUACUGCGAAAGCAUUUACCAAGGAUGUUUUCAUUAAUCAAGAACGAAAGUA
This 400-nucleotide ribosomal RNA is filed under the name phytoplankton environmental sample. Its description in RNAcentral is "partial small subunit ribosomal RNA". It matches the Rfam family "Eukaryotic small subunit ribosomal RNA", at positions 587 to 991 of the family's 1831-position model. The record is from RNAcentral.